GACCUCGGAUCAGGCAGGGAUACCCGCUGAACUU
Molecule: ribosomal RNA, 34 nt
Filed under: Lecidella asema var. elaeochromoides
Lineage: Eukaryota; Fungi; Ascomycota; Lecanoromycetes; Lecanorales; Lecanoraceae
Description: Lecidella elaeochromoides partial 28S ribosomal RNA
Source: RNAcentral